RNAcentral lists this ribosomal RNA (245 nucleotides) under uncultured Gammaproteobacteria bacterium. Its description in RNAcentral is "partial 16S ribosomal RNA". It matches the Rfam family "Bacterial small subunit ribosomal RNA", at positions 30 to 273 of the family's 1533-position model. The record is from RNAcentral. Lineage: Bacteria; Pseudomonadati; Pseudomonadota; Gammaproteobacteria.
AUUGAACGUUGGCGGCAGGCCUAAUACAUGCAAGUCGAACGGCAGCACGAGAGCUUGCUCUUGGUGGCGAGUGGCGGACGGGUGAGUAACGCGUAGGAAUCUACCCAGUAGCGGGGGAUAGCCCGGGGAAACUCGGAUUAAUACCGCAUACGCCCCACGGGGGAAAGGCCGGGAUCUUCGGACCGGUCACUAUUGGAGGAGCCUGCGUAGGAUUAGCUAGUUGGUGAGGUAAAGGCUCACCAAGG